RNAcentral lists this ribosomal RNA (366 nucleotides) under Triticum aestivum (bread wheat). RNAcentral describes it as "partial small subunit ribosomal RNA". The record is from RNAcentral. Lineage: Eukaryota; Viridiplantae; Streptophyta; Magnoliopsida; Poales; Poaceae.
AUGCUCCCCGUCAGCCUCGGGCUUGCCAAGCAUGUCCAUCGAGUUCGUCGUCAUCGACUAUGUCAUCUGCUUCCUCUACUUCCACGCGAGACGCCAAGUUCGACACCGCCCCUUCGUCCACCUCCGCCUUGGCCACUGCUUGUCUCCGACGAAUUCCGCUGCCUCCCGUCUUCCCCGAGCCCGUUCGACUCCACCGACGACCCCUACCCAGGAGAUGAGUUCAUGAACGAGGAUCCUGUCGAGAACGUUUACGAGGAGCAAGCUUUCGACGACUCUGAGAACUUUGCAGUUGCAGGUGCCGAUGAUACCAGUGCAAGUGAUGCUACCGAACUCAAGUGGGAGUUCGACAAGGACCUUGGCCGUUAA